AAUGAACGCUGGACACACAGGGAAAACAUCACAAAGUUACCAGCUUCAGUGAAAGCAGACCAAGUUGUAUCCCGCCGCUUGCUCAAAGUAGGCUGGAAGAGGCUGUCGGUCACCUGUGACCCUAAUGACAACAAGCAGUACAGAAAAUGGGUGGGUGGAUGAUGUAAAAUGGCAACAUUGAAAACAGAGGAGGGAGUUCUCGGCGCGAUGUCUCAUUCUCGGUAGAGCUUCCGGAGAAGAAACAUCGUUGUCUGAGUGGUCAUUUCAUCUCCCUUCAUUCAGGUAUGAUACCUGAAUAUUAAUGUGCAUAAGCUUUAAGAAACCAGUGGGUUAAAACUAAGUCAUAUAAUUGUUUUGAAUCUGUACUUUCACGUUUAUGUCCGAGUUGAGUUCGCUAGUUUGGGGGACGCUCAGCGGCCAUUGUGGAUUGGCGCGGGUGAGAAGUGGGAAGUCACGUGAUGCGUGCACACUCAGGCAAUGUGCCUAUACAUGCACAUGCAACUGAAGAGGUUUGGGGCGAUGUGUGUGUUCAGAAUUGAUGUAUUUUUUCUAUUGAUAUUAUUGGCAAACUAUUUCAUUAGUCUAUAGAUUUACAGAUAAAUGAAUAUGUUUAUUUACUGCUUAGUUUAUUGGAAGCAUAAUGCAUCUUGUAUAUGUAAGUUUUGUUUAUCACAUUAGAAAACAGUUUUGUGAAAAUGCAUGUUAUAUAAAAGAGUAUUAUUUUGUAUCAUUGUUGGAAUAUUUGUAUUCAAGUGUCUUGUAUUAUUUAUGACUACUUAAAAUACAUCAUUCUCGGUAGAGCUUCUGGAGAUGAAA
This is a long non-coding RNA of Phyllopteryx taeniolatus (common seadragon), 816 nucleotides long. RefSeq lists it as uncharacterized. Lineage: Eukaryota; Metazoa; Chordata; Actinopteri; Syngnathiformes; Syngnathidae. The transcript has 2 exons. The record is from RefSeq and is a predicted model, not a curated record.